This 736-nucleotide long non-coding RNA is filed under the name Marmota monax (woodchuck). Lineage: Eukaryota; Metazoa; Chordata; Mammalia; Rodentia; Sciuridae. The record is from RNAcentral.
ACAGGGGACCGCUGUGCAGAAUGAACUCAGCUGUGCACCACGACAGUAAGGUGCGGGCCAGAGGCUGUGGUUAGAUGGUGACUACACCAAUAGUUCAAGUUGGAAGUGGUCACUGACUAAUUCCACAUGGGCUAAACAAGAGAGUGUUCUCUAUAAGGAAUGAUUCACUUCUAGACCUAGCAUACCCAUUGCAGAGCCAAUGACAGCAUGCCGUGGUUCCUCAAGUAAACUUUGGCCUCAAAGUUUCCAAAACACUCAUCUUCUCAAUCACUCUGAGGCUUGACUGUCACAGUAUGACUUGUCUUAUCAAGGAAAUGUACAGAGAGAGUAAUUGGCAUUUUUAGUGACUUUUUAUUUUGACAUCAUUGAAAAUUUUAGAAAAAUUUUAAGAAUACCUGUAUAUCUUUUUACCCAGGUACACCAUUUGUUUAACAUUUGCUUUAUCACCCCACAACCAGUGUUUGAGAGUAAGCUUCAGAUACCAUGCCUCUUUACCCCAGCUCUUCACUCUGUAUUUCCUAAGAAUAAGGAGAGUCCACAGUUGUUAGAAGCCAGACAUCUUACCCUGUAUUAGAUAAUAGUAUUGUAUCAAAGUCCAUAUUUAGAUUCUGCCAGUUGCCCCCAAAAUGUCUUUUAUAGUAUUUUUCCUGGUCCAAGAUUCACAUCGUAUCUCUUACUUAAUCUGAAAUGAAUUAAAUUUUAAGUGGAAUGGAGAGGGAUGCAUUUUUAACUGCAC